UUUAAUUCAGUUCACAUAUUUCUCAACAGAUGUUACACUUUAUGAAUGAUCAAUCCACUAAGCAAAGAUGUAAGCAUGAAAUUUAGCAAUUCUCACCAAGCAAGUGUUUCACUCAAUUACUCAAGUGUUUAGGGUGCUACUCCAACUCUCUAUUAUUCACAAGGCACAUGAAACGACAUUGCCAUUUAUCUCAAACGAUCAAAAUUUUCACAUGCAAAUGUCAUCAUAAGGACUUUUCUAAGGCUUGUAUUGAGGCUGGGCUAACAAGAAAAAUUGGUUUUUUUGGAAUGCAAAAUCCUUGAGUUAAGAUAGCUACAAUAAUAUUCAAUGUUUAAGCACAACUCUCUACCUCACCAAUCUCACUUAUUCCCAACUUCUUCCCUUUUCUUUUAUUUUUACAUUGAUCUCAUCUUCAUGCUUUUCUUCUUUUCUUUUCCUUUUUCUCAUGCAUUUUUCUUUCUCAACAUUUGAGCUCAAUGCUUUUCAAUUGCCUUUCAAUUUCCCCCAUACACCCCAAACUUGAACCUUUUCCACACAUACAGUUAAGCUCAACCAAACUCAAGGUAAAGAAUUUUAAAACAAGGGUUUUCAUACUAUUUAAGGCUAAGGUUCAAAAACGGGUAUAAGAUUUCAAGUACUUUGGGUAAAAAUUUGGCUUAGAGAAGGGUUUUCAAAAAUGGCCUUGAUCAUAUGACAUUCACAUGCAAUUCAAUCAAUCAUCAAGAUUAAGGCAAUAUCAUUCAUGCUUUCUUGUGGACAAUACAUACAACAAUAAAAACUCUGGUGCUUAAUACCUCACACACAUGCUUUCUCACACAACAUUCAUUCAU
RNAcentral lists this long non-coding RNA (830 nucleotides) under Vigna radiata. RNAcentral's name for it is "long non-coding RNA (VRAD_LNC002058)". Lineage: Eukaryota; Viridiplantae; Streptophyta; Magnoliopsida; Fabales; Fabaceae. The record is from RNAcentral.